AAACCAACUGGGAUUACCUUAGUAACGGCGAGUGAAGCGGUAAAAGCUCAAAUUUGAAAUCUGGUACUUUCAGUGCCCGAGUUGUAAUUUGUAGAAUUUGUCUUUGAUUAGGUCCUUGUCUAUGUUCCUUGGAACAGGACGUCAUAGAGGGUGAGAAUCCCGUUUGGCGAGGAUACCUUUUCUCUGUAAGACUUUUUCGAAGAGUCGAGUUGUUUGGGAAUGCAGCUCAAAGUGGGUGGUAAAUUCCAUCUAAAGCUAAAUAUUGGCGAGAGACCGAUAGCGAACAAGUACAGUGAUGGAAAGAUGAAAAGAACUUUGAAAAGAGAGUGAAAAAGUACGUGAAAUUGUUGAAAGGGAAGGGCAUUUGAUCAGACAUGGUGUUUUUGCAUGCACUCGCCUCUCGUGGGCUUGGGCCUCUCAAAAAUUUCACUGGGCCAACAUCAAUUCUGGCAGUAGGAUAAAUCAUUAAGAAUGUAGCUACCUCGGUAGUGUUAUAGCUUAUUGGAAUACUGCU
RNAcentral lists this ribosomal RNA (514 nucleotides) under uncultured Hanseniaspora. Its description in RNAcentral is "eukaryotic LSU rRNA". It matches the Rfam family "Eukaryotic large subunit ribosomal RNA", at positions 62 to 575 of the family's 3401-position model. The record is from RNAcentral. Lineage: Eukaryota; Fungi; Ascomycota; Saccharomycetes; Saccharomycodales; Saccharomycodaceae.